ACUUGAAUUGAAGAGUUUGAUCAUGGCUCAGAUUGAACGCUGGCGGCAGGCUUAACACAUGCAAGUCGAACGGUAACAGGAGAAAGCUUGCUUUCUUGCUGACGAGUGGCGGACGGGUGAGUAAUGCUUGGGAAUCUGGCUUAUGGAGGGGGAUAACGACGGGAAACUGUCGCUAAUACCGCGUAGUGUCGAGAGACGAAAGUGCGGGACUGAGAGGCCGCAUGCCAUAGGAUGAGCCCAAGUGGGAUUAGGUAGUUGGUGGGGUAAAGGCCUACCAAGCCUGCGAUCUCUAGCUGGUCUGAGAGGAUGACCAGCCACACUGGAACUGAGACACGGUCCAGACUCCUACGGGAGGCAGCAGUGGGGAAUAUUGCGCAAUGGGGGGAACCCUGACGCAGCCAUGCCGCGUGAAUGAAGAAGGCCUUCGGGUUGUAAAGUUCUUUCGGUAUUGAGGAAGGUUGAUGUGUUAAUAGCACAUCAAAUUGACGUUAAAUACAGAAGAAGCACCGGCUAACUCCGUGCCAGCAGCCGCGGUAAUACGGAGGGUGCGAGCGUUAAUCGGAAUAACUGGGCG
This 574-nucleotide ribosomal RNA is filed under the name Haemophilus influenzae. RNAcentral describes it as "bacterial SSU rRNA". It matches the Rfam family "Bacterial small subunit ribosomal RNA", at positions 1 to 560 of the family's 1533-position model. The record is from RNAcentral. Lineage: Bacteria; Pseudomonadati; Pseudomonadota; Gammaproteobacteria; Pasteurellales; Pasteurellaceae.